Molecule: ribosomal RNA, 1360 nt
Filed under: uncultured Escherichia sp.
Lineage: Bacteria; Pseudomonadati; Pseudomonadota; Gammaproteobacteria; Enterobacterales; Enterobacteriaceae
Description: 16S ribosomal RNA
Rfam family: Bacterial small subunit ribosomal RNA
Source: RNAcentral
UCUUCGCUGACGAGUGGCGGACGGGUGAGUAAUGUCUGGGAAGCUGCCUGAUGGAGGGGGAUAACUACUGGAAACGGUAGCUAAUACCGCAUAAUGUCGCAAGACCAAAGAGGGGGACCUUCGGGCCUCUUGCCAUCGGAUGUGCCCAGAUGGGAUUAGCUUGUUGGUGGGGUAACGGCUCACCAAGGCGACGAUCCCUAGCUGGUCUGAGAGGAUGACCAGCCACACUGGAACUGAGACACGGUCCAGACCCCUACGGGAGGCAGCAGUGGGGAAUAUUGCACAAUGGGCGCAAGCCUGAUGCAGCCAUGCCGCGUGUAUGAAGAAGGCCUUCGGGUUGUAAAGUACUUUCAGCGGGGAGGAAGGGAGUAAAGUUAAUACCUUUGCUCAUUGACGUUACCCGCAGAAGAAGCACCGGCUAACUCCGUGCCAGCAGCCGCGGUAAUACGGAGGGUGCAAGCGUUAAUCGGAAUUACUGGGCGUAAAGCGCACGCAGGCGGUUUGUUAAGUCAGAUGUGAAAUCCCCGGGCUCAACCUGGGAACUGCAUCUGAUACUGGCAAGCUUGAGUCUCGUAGAGGGGGGUAGAACUCCAGGUGUAGCGGUGAAAUGCGUAGAGAUCUGGAGGAAUACCGGUGGCGAAGGCGGCCCCCUGGACGAAGACUGACGCUCASGUGCGAAAGCGUGKGGAGCAAACAGGAUUAGAUACCCUGGUAGUCCACGCCGUAAACGAUGUCGACUUGGAGGUUGUGCCCUUGAGGCGUGGCUUCCGGAGCUAACGCGUUAAGUCGACCGCCUGGGGAGUACGGCCGCAAGGUUAAAACUCAAAUGAAUUGACGGGGGCCCGCACAAGCGGUGGAGCAUGUGGUUUAAUUCGAUGCAACGCGAAGAACCUUACCUGGUCUUGACAUCCACGGAAGUUUUCAGAGAUGAGAAUGUGCCUUCGGGAACCGUGAGACAGGUGCUGCAUGGCUGUCGUCAGCUCGUGUUGUGAAAUGUUGGGUUAAGUCCCGCAACGAGCGCAACCCUUAUCCUUUGUUGCCAGCGGUCCGGCCGGGAACUCAAAGGAGACUGCCAGUGAUAAACUGGAGGAAGGUGGGGAUGACGUCAAGUCAUCAUGGCCCUUACGACCAGGGCUACACACGUGCUACAAUGGCGCAUACAAAGAGAAGCGACCUCGCGAGAGCAAGCGGACCUCAUAAAGUGCGUCGUAGUCCGGAUUGGAGUCUGCAACUCGACUCCAUGAAGUCGGAAUCGCUAGUAAUCGUGGAUCAGAAUGCCACGGUGAAUACGUUCCCGGGCCUUGUACACACCGCCCGUCACACCAUGGGAGUGGGUUGCAAAAGAAGUAGGUAGCUUAAC